AAGUUUAUAGUGCAUAAGAGAAAACUAACGUGAAACAAUCUCUCUUUUGGUGGUGUGGUGAAUGUAAGUCGGUUCGUUUAAAUAUCGACAUCACUAUAGAUUCAUGAUAACUCAUGAUCUUAAUAGUAUUUAGCAUCUUAUUUAGUUCAUUUUAAUCAUUCUAGAUUGCAUUUAGGUCUUAAUAUUGCAUUUACAUGCAUAAUUGCAUAAAUAGGGGUUAAAGUGCACACUUGAGAAGUUUGGGGCGAAAUCACAAGGUUGUUCUUGCAAGUUAUGGAGUUUGUGGCCAAUUUAAAAGAAAUCCGAAACCAAGGGACCAUCUUGCAAUUAUACGAGGGCUAAAUCGCACAGAUGAAAGAUUGGGGUUGAUUUUAGAGGGUGUGUCUGCAAAUUCUAAAGAUAUGGGCCAUUUUGUAAAGAAUCAGAAGUUCAGGGACCUGUCUUGCAAAUACUUAUAACUUCACCAUUGGAGAGGAUCGAAGCUUUUUCUUGGACGGAAACGACGAGCACGGCCACGAUGGAGCUGAGCACGGUCACGGUGGAGCUGAGCACGGCCACGGAGGAAGCUUGGUCGCGUCUUGGAGGAGACGGUGGCGCAGUCACGGCUUGAUUUGCGACGACGACUAAAGCUCUCGGCUACGACGAGGAAGGCGGAGCCAGUGAUGACCACGACGGCUCGAGCUUGAUUUCGCGAGGAAGAGGAGAGGCGACGACAGUCACGGUUUUGAUGUGUUGCGAUGUGUUGUGGUGGCUGGAGCACAAACUGAACCACCACCGCGAGCUUGGCUGAGACGAAGAAGACGAAGUCCGAGCUCGAGCAAACACAGCGGAUAGACGCAGCGGGUUCAUCGUACCGCUGGAAAAAGACCUAUGCCCCUGUCCAAUAUCGACUUGGUGGAGCGGGUCGUAAAAGCCGCUGUGGAGAAGACAAGAGUCGAUUUCAAAACAUUGACCGGUUUAUUCUGGUUUGACCCGGUUUUAUCCAAUCAAACCAUUUCGAGUUUUGCUUUCCUAUAAAUAGAUUUAGACCUAAAAACUCUAGUUUUUAUUUCAUUUUCUCUCAAGACUUUGUCUAAACUUGUAAAAGCUUGAUUCUUUCUAUAAUUUAAGGAAGUACUUCAUCUUAUAAUUGUGUUUUUCUUGCUCAUUAACAUGAUUAGCCUUGAUCCUUACAUGGGUUUAAGGUUUCUCAUGGAGAUUAUUGAGUAGACACAUUUUGGAUUCAUGGGUUAAGGUAGAUUAGGGUGAUUAAGCUAGAUCUAAAGUGUUUUAGUAUAAAUCCAUCUUGUUCCUUGCUAGUAGAGUGUUUUUAAUGCAACUCUAGAGUUGGCCUCUCUAAAGUUGAGCUCUAGGCAUUUCAUACCCGGAAGGUGUUUGAUGAAAUGCCUGAACCAACUCUCCUAAGCUUUUAACAUUCUUUACCAAAGGGAUUUGUUGUUAAAAGUGUUAAGAUGGCUAGUAGACUUGAGAUUAAUGAUUACUUAGAUAACAUUCAACCAAAGGGAUUUGAUGCUUGAGUUAUCUAGGUAAAUGAGCAUUCAUCUAGGGAUAGAGUUUGUUUAGGAUUGUGUCUAGGCCUAAGGUAGAUAGAUCAGUUGAAAGUUGACACCUUUAGAUUGAAACUUGAUCACCUUAUAUCAAUUAUCAUUACCCAUGAAUCCAUCCUUAGCAUUUGAAAGUUCUUGCACUUAUUUCUUGAUUGGAUUUGAGAUCACCUUGUUUAUAUUUCUAGGAUCUUAGCUUGUUACAAAUCAUCCAUCUUCUUGUUUGCUUAGAUUAAGAAAGCUUGUGUAUUCUUGGUGUUAUAGGUCACUAGUUCCUUGUGGAUUCGAUCCUAAAAUGCUACAAUGACAUACCAUUCGAUUGUGGUAUUGUUGGCACAUUAGGUUAAUUGGUGUGUGCUUAGACGCGUAAUCAAUUUGGCGCCGUUGCCAGGGAACUAGUAGAUUUAUCAUUAGGAUUUCAAUCUUUCUUGAGACUUAGCUUUAUUUUCUUGCUUUGUUUUUCUUUUGCAUAGUUACUAACCUUUACUUCUAGCUUUUGUUCUUGAAUGAUGGCUUCAAGCUGUUUUGAGAAGCCACAAGAAGAGGAAGAUCACAUCGAAGAUGAGCCAUAUGUGUAUGUGGAGCCACCACCCUUUGAUGCAAGUAUACUCACACCAGCACAGCUUGUGACGUUAAAUGAGCUUCAGAAGAAGUACCCGGGGUCAGCAAAGACAUCCCUAGCACGAAGGAUCCGGGUGGAGCUUAUUAAGGAUCAAGCAGAGCUUGAAGGAAGGGAGGUUACACAGUAUGAGUUCAAUGUUGCUUAUGACCUUAAAGAGGUAAUGUAUUGGGUUCCACCACCCCAGCUGGAAGGUACAAGAAUUUCCACUCUAGAACUUCAACUUGAGGAACUUUGCUUGCCUUGUGGUGAGAAUAUUGCCCAUGAUCUUGAUUCUCUUGUGCUCAUAAAUGAAUGUCUUGAUCUAAUAUGUGAAACUAGGAAGCUAGAUGAGUUGAGAAUAGAAAAGCUUGCUAGAGAUCAUAUUGAAGUUUGUUUUGACAAGAACUAUCUUUGUGCUUCAAUUGAUCUUGAAUCUGAGUUUUUGAUGCUUGAUGAACCUAGACCUCUUCUUGAACUAGCUGAUUUAGGGGAUGAACUUGAUGUUGAUAUGUUCUUGCUUGAGAUAGAAAACCCCCAUGUCAAAGACAAUCAUGAGAAUGAAAACAUUGUGUUUUAUUUGAUUGAUGGAGAUAGAGUUAACUACUUUGCUAAAACCUCGUUUGAGUCUGUAGUUGACUGUGUGUUUCCACCAUAUGCAUUUGAUUCUCAUCACCAUCUGAACCUCAAGGAGCAUUUUAUAAUUCAUGUCACAUCUUUAGUGAAGCUCUUUGAGGAAAAAUCUGUCUAUUUUCAAUGGACAGUAGUGUGCUCCUUUGCAUACUUGGUUCCUUGUUCUUGUAGGAGAAGGACCAAAGGUGCAUUGGCUCAACCUUUUGAUACCUAUGAUUAACAAGCACACAAAGUCAAGCUAGAGACUUAAAACAAGCUCACUUGGGAGGAAAUCUCAUGUUUAUCCAUUGUAUAUAUUUCUUUAUCUUCUCUUUUUAGGUUAUUUAAUAAGCAUGGUUGAGGUUUUUCAGGUCAAGUCUUACUUACCAUGGCUGAUGUGAAGCAUUGUGACUCUAGACACUUGCCUUCUCCCCUUCAGUCCAUGUCCAUCGGUGAAACAAACCCGAGGCCAAGGGUCCUCUACCACCCAAUUCAGCCAAUAACUCUAAGUAAGUGUCACUCCAACCUUGUACAUAUUUAGUUUUCAUGUUUAUUUGUUUCCUUUAGAUCUCUUCUUCGAGCUUACUCUGACACAAGGGACUGUGUGAAGUAAGUUUGGGGGAGAGUCUACUAUCUCACAUCAUUUUCUGUUUUGUUUACUUGCCAUGAGUCUCAUGCAUUGCAUUGUGAAUACUUAUUUGCAUAGAAAAUCCAUAAAAAUUUGAUUUUUUUUUUUUUUUUUUUUUUUUUUGAAAAUCUUCAAGUAGUUUCACUUGAUCCAUUUGCAUCUUUAGGAUUGAGUUUAGAAGCAUUUAGAUUGUAUUCAUGCAUUGAGAGAAACCUUGUAAAGAAUACAUGUCUAGAACUCAAUUUGACAUCCUAGCUAAACAUAUCAAGUAGCUUAAGCAUCUCUUGAAAAAGCUUGUAAGCUUCGAGCCUUGAAAACUCUUCUUGAAACAUGUUGUUUGCUUGAUGAUUGACAUUGUUCUUGAAACCAACUCCAAAUGAACUAUGGUUUAAUGAACUUAAUCUCUCUUGCAUAUGGACAUUUGCAUACUUGAUCAUGGAUAUUAUACACAUUUGGGUUAUCUUUCUCUCUUUGUACCAAUCUUUGUUAACCCAAAUGGCACUUCCCUCUCCAUUAACCCUCACCAUUCUUUGAAACCAACAUUAAUUUGCUUGAGUGAAGCCUUUUAUUGAUAGCAUGUCAUGUGCAAAAUUUUGAGAGUAUUAGGAGCGACAAUGAGUUGUUCUCAUCUUUGGCUAGCAUUAGGACCUCAUUUGGGCUAGCCUCUAGGAUGGUUGUUGGGUUUGUGAGCUUAAAUUCUUUUGAUCUUGGGAUAGGGAUGUGAGUGAAAGUGAAAAGAAAUGAACCAAAAAGAGUGUGAAAAAAAAAAAAAAAAAAGCCACUAGAGAUUAAAAAAAAAAAGAAGCUCUUGUGUUUAUAAAUAGAAUCCCCUUUAGAAUAAAAGAAAAAAAACAUGAAAAGAAAAAAAAAAGAAAAAAAAGAGCUGAGUGAAUAAAAAAAAAAAAAACUCUCUAGUUGGCUAGAAUAAGAAAUGAUAAUGUGUUCAUUGGGUGAGAGAUGAAAGUGAGUCUAUCUUUGGGUUUUGGAAUGAUGAAAAGAAGAAGGGUAGAGCUUGAAAUCAUUUAGGAAAGGGGUAGAAUGAUGAGAACAAGUCAUUGUAUGCAUGAAUUGCUCCUUUUCUUAGAUAAAUUUUGCAUAAUGUUCUUGCUCCUAUUCUUGAGUGUGAGUCACCAUAAAAGAUGCAUUUGAAAACCCUUGCUUCACAUUAGACCAUUUUCACUCACAAAGCCAAAUGAUUGAGAUCAUGUGCCUAUUUGCAAGAACUCACUUUGUAUGCUUGUUUAAUUGAAUGUGAGAGUUGGUUGAAAGACUUGUUGAUUGAUGAGCAUUGCAACUUGUGUAGAGGCAUAAGAGUGUUGAUAGGCCUUGAGAAGCUAGAGUGUAUUAAGAAAGUUGUUCAUGCUAUUUGCUAUGUUUCUCUUAGGAUGUUAAGUUGAAGGCUAGAAAGUGUUUUGGUUAUAAACUUCCAUUUUCAAACAUUUCUAUUUUUCAUUUUGAAAGUUUACUUGUGGACAAGUAAAGUUCUAGUUUGGGGGAGUUGAUAACUCAUGAUCUUAAUAGUAUUUAGCAUCUUAUUUAGUUCAUUUUAAUCAUUCUAGAUUGCAUUUAGGUCUUAAUAUUGCAUUUACAUGCAUAAUUGCAUAAAUAGGGGUUAAAGUGCACACUUGAGAAGUUUGGGGCGAAAUCACAAGGUUGUUCUUGCAAGUUAUGGAGUUUGUGGCCAAUUUAAAAGAAAUCCGAAACCAAGGGACCAUCUUGCAAUUAUACGAGGGCUAAAUCGCACAGAUGAAAGAUUGGGGUUGAUUUUAGAGGGUGUGUCUGCAAAUUCUAAAGAUAUGGGCCAUUUUGUAAAGAAUCAGAAGUUCAGGGACCUGUCUUGCAAAUACUUAUAACUUCACCAUUGGAGAGGAUCGAAGCUUUUUCUUGGACGGAAACGACGAGCACGGCCACGAUGGAGCUGAGCACGGUCACGGUGGAGCUGAGCACGGCCACGGAGGAAGCUUGGUCGCGUCUUGGAGGAGACGGUGGCGCAGUCACGGCUUGAUUUGCGACGACGACUAAAGCUCUCGGCUACGACGAGGAAGGCGGAGCCAGUGAUGACCACGACGGCUCGAGCUUGAUUUCGCGAGGAAGAGGAGAGGCGACGACAGUCACGGUUUUGAUGUGUUGCGAUGUGUUGUGGUGGCUGGAGCACAAACUGAACCACCACCGCGAGCUUGGCUGAGACGAAGAAGACGAAGUCCGAGCUCGAGCAAACACAGCGGAUAGACGCAGCGGGUUCAUCGUACCGCUGGAAAAAGACCUAUGCCCCUGUCCAAUAUCGACUUGGUGGAGCGGGUCGUAAAAGCCGCUGUGGAGAAGACAAGAGUCGAUUUCAAAACAUUGACCGGUUUAUUCUGGUUUGACCCGGUUUUAUCCAAUCAAACCAUUUCGAGUUUUGCUUUCCUAUAAAUAGAUUUAGACCUAAAAACUCUAGUUUUUAUUUCAUUUUCUCUCAAGACUUUGUCUAAACUUGUAAAAGCUUGAUUCUUUCUAUAAUUUAAGGAAGUACUUCAUCUUAUAAUUGUGUUUUUCUUGCUCAUUAACAUGAUUAGCCUUGAUCCUUACAUGGGUUUAAGGUUUCUCAUGGAGAUUAUUGAGUAGACACAUUUUGGAUUCAUGGGUUAAGGUAGAUUAGGGUGAUUAAGCUAGAUCUAAAGUGUUUUAGUAUAAAUCCAUCUUGUUCCUUGCUAGUAGAGUGUUUUUAAUGCAACUCUAGAGUUGGC
Molecule: long non-coding RNA, 6108 nt
Filed under: Brassica rapa (field mustard)
Lineage: Eukaryota; Viridiplantae; Streptophyta; Magnoliopsida; Brassicales; Brassicaceae
Description: long non-coding RNA (BRAP_LNC000111)
Source: RNAcentral